Molecule: long non-coding RNA, 5802 nt
Organism: Gasterosteus aculeatus aculeatus (three-spined stickleback)
Lineage: Eukaryota; Metazoa; Chordata; Actinopteri; Perciformes; Gasterosteidae
Source: Ensembl
CCUCCCUCGCCCCCAACACUCACCCCCUUGACCAUCUUGCACCCCCUCUUUCAUCGCUUUCUUUACUUCUCUCCUGUCUCUCCCUCCUCCCUAGUGUUGAUGCCAUUUUCUCGCUCCCCGGCUGUCUCCUCUCGCUCAUCAGCGUCAACACUCUAAAAAUAAAGAUGGAGCUGUGGAAAGACAAUCUUUUUUUUUCUUCUUUUUUUUCUGGAGGUGGUUUCUAGAGAUUCUUGCAUAUACUGUAUGUACACAGAGACAAGGCAACGCUUAACCUGCUAUAACGGGAAGUGCUAACAGCUUCUCAAAGAAAAAAAGAAGUGAUAAUUACAAAAGUGAAUGCCAAGUAAGCGAUUCAAACGGAAACAGCUUGACCUGUACAAUAUAAAUUAAACAUUGCGAUAACACAUAAAAUGAGAGUUUUUAAUGGUCUUAGUGGAAAAUCACAUUGAGGCAAAACUGUUCUGAAAUCUUUGUUUUAAUAUUCUUAGUGGCACAUCCCAUAUUGGGUCACUUUUUAAGGGUAAAAGCAGUCAAUCUAUCCUUCUAAGGGCCAGUGACAUUUACGCUCUUCUGCUGUUAUUUCAUUCCCUCCUUUGCCACCUGAACGCGCUGACACCGUUUGUUAUUGGUGUCUUUUUUUAGUUAUUGAUUUCAUGGUUUUUAUCAAAUCAAGGGUCCAGGUUGGGAAGAAAAAAAAUCUAUAUGCAGCAGUGAUGUCAUUUGUUUGACAUUUUCAUCCCUUGGAGUGAUGAAUGGUGGAGUAGGAAAGCAAAUGACAAAGGCUUUACAAACAGUGUCCUCGUGUGAAAUAUGUGUUGUGUUUGCAGGGAGGUCAGACCUCAGUGUUCUUGGUCUCAAUUCAAUCCAGAACCCAAAAUGGACAAAUCCCCUGAAAGUUGUAUGGUGAGAAUAUGAUGCGUCCCAGUCAGUACGAUCUGCUGAUGGCAGAACACUAUUAUGAUAAAUACUGUAUCCGGCUGAAGAAAACCACUUCCAGGGGUUCCACCUACAAAACAAGUUGGUCCAAAAGUAAAGUUGGUUUACGCCCCCACCCAAUACAGAGAUGGAGAGAGAAAAAGAAGACAAAAGAGAGAGAGAGUCACACAGCGCUGCUUUUCUGAGAAUAGAAGAACAAAUAUUUUCUGAUGGUUUCAUGGCGGUAACGUUCUUAAGCACAAAUAAAUAUCAUACCCUCAGCAGAACAAACACUCCUCUUCUUAGUUUUUCCUUCAGCAUUCCAAUGAUUACAUGGAGCGCACUCUACUAAAGCAGUGAACCUACAUGCUGCUCAUUGUUCAUAGUGCAUUUGAAGGAGUCAUUUUCCGCUUACAUCGUGACGUGAACACACAUAUUUGGCUUGAUGGCCCGAUGUACCUGCGAGGAUGGAGGGUCAUGGAGAUGUUGUACUUAUCAGUGGAGUCAGAUGGUGUUGUCACUGGCUGGAAUGUAAAUCUGCUGAUUCUUGGCUUUCGCGCGGUUGCCCGUUCCUGGCUCGGAUAGAACCGCUUGUGCCUGAAACUGGAUGGAGCUUUGGUGACGGAUUGAGAUGGAUCAAUGAGCAGGAUGCCGGACUAUUUAUCAUGCCUCCACUUGACAUAUCUCCAGUUACUCUGCUGCAUAUUUCUCUCUUCAUCAUCAUUAAACUUCAGUUGCAAACUUAUGGCAUCACAAGUUGGAUAUCUAAUUUAUCACUGGGCACAUAGUCUGUAGACAAACCCAAAUAACUGACGCACCAGGUGGGCCUGCAAUGCAAAUUUGCCUGUUUUGUUCUAUUCCUCAUAACAGACAUGGGGUUUGCCUAUAUGGAGAAGCACACAAGCCCUAAAUUGGUUUCGGGGUUUGUUUAGGCGGCCGUUGUUUGUUCUUCACACCUGUCGGCUGUAACUGCCAGUGAAAUCACUGCGCCCCAAAUCUCUAAAUCUCUGAACCACAGAGAUCAAUGCACACCAGGGAGGACAAACAGAGAGCGGCGGCGAUGAAAGAGAGAUGCGGAAGACAAGCAAUGGAGAGGCAAAAGGGGAGCGAGAGGUGCAACAUGGAGGGAGUUCACUGCCGUGACAGCUGAGCUUCAUAUCGGCGGAGUUUGUUUUGCUUGAUUUGUUGGAGCAUGUGGGGAGGGGAUCCAGAUUGUCGGUGGCACUCGCAAUAACACUUUUUUUUUAAAAUGGAAGUGACAUUUUGUAGAAACUCUGCAUGUGGUAGGGACGGAUUUUAUUGUAUGAGUUGCGUUUGGGGGACGUCUUUUAGAUGUGAAUUUGGUCAAACGCUUGGGUGGUGAAGUUGGUAUCCGCUGCAGAGGUCGGGUCGUAGCCCCUCGGGACGGGUUCGUUCCGGCCAACACAUGUGGCUUUGUUAACGGGAGGGACACACGUUCCUAACCUUUUCUUUGUCGCACCGCUCAAUGGGGACUGGACCUCGAGCAAUAGGGUGACGCACACAAAUGACAAAUUAUAAAAGAAAAGUAGAAGACAUUUUCAAAUUCAUGAAUAUAUUAUGAUCUUAUAUUGUGUUAACUUUGCAGGUGGGGCAAUUGUUUUGAUAAUCGAUUCAAAUUUAAUGUAUUCUAAUGAUUUCUUUUAGGCUAGAAGCUGUGAACAUGACACAUAUUCAACUGAGAAGUUGACAUGGAAAGUAAACUUUUGUCUUUUUUACACAGUAACUGAGCAACAUUAGCUUGAUUUUAUCAUUCAUCUAAUUAAUAUAAGCCCCAUAUUCAUACUCCUUUUUACCUUUUUUUGUGUCCACCAGCUCCAUAAAGUAAUAUCUGCCGCUUUAGCUGCUAAAUACCCCACUGGGUUCACAUUCUCUCUGCUCAACUGCACCACACCGCUGAAAGAUAUUGUUUAUUUAUUAAUAAUUUAAUCAAACCAUUAAAUAGAACCUAAUUUGACUGCAUAUUUAAAGCUUGCUUAAUGUACGAUGGUGACAAAUUUAAAUAAAAGUGUAGAAUGAUUUAACAAGUGGUGAUAUACAAAGAUAUCACCUUCAAAAUAAUGGCCAAUCCUCCUAAAAUAAUCCUGCCGUGGUAAAGAAGAGUUCUGGGAGCUGCGAUCGGACUGUGAUGAAAGAAGACGGUUUUUGAACCACAAUAAGCGAGCGGAUACAAGCACGAGGUCUGAACAGGAAACCACAUCCUCACCUUGUCCAGGCAUCAGCCCCAUCCAAACAAACCUCAAACGCUUUUAAUCACUUUGUUGUUCUCCCUGGUUACAAAGAGAUGUGGAGACACAACAAAUGUGUCUCCAAAUGUUUCAGCAGUGCUCAAGGGAAAACCUCAAAACAUGGUGGAGUAAAAAAAAAAUAUAUAUAUAGAUUCAAGGAUUUUAUUUAUUUAGUUUUUUCAAGAGAUUUGAGUUUGAGAGGUCAAGGGAAACACAACAACAUCAAAAACACAGAAGCGAACACAGUCAAAGGCUCAUCUCUGGUUGGUCUUGUGUCUCUGAUUGCUUCCCCUGUGUUGCUCCUGGCCGAGGCUUAUCAAAGAGCUCCUUUCAUAAGUGCCAGGAUCGAGCCACUGCUGUGACUGCUUGGCACCCACUGAGGUGGCUCAGAUACUUGGGGGGGCAAGGAAAGGAAAAAUUGAGGACGGAGAGUGAAGGGAAGAUGGUGCUUUUAAAGGAAAGUGGGGAAGUGGCUGAGAUCGGAGGGGAGUUUGGCAUCUUUUGCGAUAUGGGUGUGUGUGUUCUUGUUGGAGAGACAACGCAGGGGAGGGGCACGUGUGAUACGGGGAGGAGUUGUGUUUUUAUGUGUGUGCUGAGAAAAUGAAUAUGUAUUUGCUUUAAACCCCCCCCCCCGGUGAUUUCUUGCUGACGCGCUCCAUAAUGCACGGCAUAUCAAGGUGAGUGCAGCAGAAACGGUGAGGGGAAAGAGCAACACAAACAGAGAAUACCCCGAGGCCAUGUGCUCCUCCUCCCCACAGCAGCCAUGGCUCCAUGGAGCCCGUCCAACUCCCGACUUCGCCGACCAGACCUCAUUCACGCAAAGGGGGAAGUCCAUGGGUGGUUUUGUUCGCCCAGGGACUGAAGACGAGAGCCUGUCGAACCCUCAGCUGGAGUCCAGGGAAGACUCUGUGCGGCCCGCUCUUAGUCCCAGCAUGCAGCAGAGAAACCACAGAGACAUCUCGUGUCCUCGGGGAAAGGGAUCAAGCUUCUAUAGAAUAGAAAAUUCCCCCAAAGGGCAGAUUUAAAAGGGGGGGGGGGGUUGAAUCUCUGUGUCUAUGCAAUUAUCACACAUACAAACCAACUUGCAUCUUGUGUUUGACAAAGCUCGUCUAAGAUAAGGUGUUAUUAUUAUUAAUUUGUCACCACUUUGAUCGUAAUGAACUCAAAGAAAUUGUUGGACGCUUUUACACUUAGUCUUUUAAUUAAUUGUAUUGCUGACAGACAGUUACAUGUGUGUUUAGUCUGCUUAAAAGUCGUGGUAAAAAUAACAAUUAUCUAUUUCAGAGGGGAUUUAGCCAUUUCUUGACAAGGACCAGUUGCCUUGCAAUGACGUGUGUAAAAACUGAACGACUUCAUCGUAAACAUCCCCUAUUUGGUUGUGGGCUGACGUUGUUUUUUUUUGCCCUCUACUGAACGGCAGAUACGAGUGUAAAGGUGUGUUACAAUCGGGGACAUGCGGCAGGUAAGUGGUCGCAGCGGCGACCUGUCGAUCAAAAGGUGGCCGCGCCCAAAAGCAUCUACAGAUACAGACGGUUACCUUCGUACAAGAAGCAGUUUUGCCUUAUUUUGUGCUUUUAAGUUAAGUUAGCUGAUGUCUGAUUCUUCUGAUCAAUUUUCUCAUCCUUUUUCUACAAAAUAUUACAUAGAUGCAUUUUCUUAUGUGAUGUGAUAUUGUGACCAGUAGUCUCAAUUUGUUGUUUAUUUAUCCUGAUUCUAUUGAGUAAUUUGGUCAAAAUAUUUAUUUAGUCAUAUAAUUUGAGCUUCCCCACAAGUCCAAGUUUACAAUAGAUAGAGAUGCACCUUAUCAUCCCAAAGGUAUUUAUUUCUCAUGGGCACAUACAUUCCAUCACUUUACAUACAAUUAUUAUUUCAUUCCCAUAACUUGGGCAGAAUAAUGAAUAAAUUGUUAUAAGGUAAUAAUUGCAUUCUUAUUUUAGCGCUGCAGCAACAUAAUUUCACAAAUACUCAAAAGGUCAAGGCUCCAUAUACGACCAAAAAAUGCAUAAUGAUAUCGCCACACAUUUCACUGUAAGCCCAAUGAGCCCGCAGGUGGAAAGUGGAGGUGUGUGUGUGUGUGUUGGUGCAGGAUGUGUGUCUGUGUGUGUGUUUUGGGGGUGGAAGCAAUAAAGCUGCUGGUAAAGCAUCUCCUCAUCAUAACGGAGGGAUUAAUACAGCGUGGGUAAAUGUUGACUCAAUCCACACAUCUAUCUAGUAAAUCAAAUAGGAAUAAAAAUUGUCUCAUAAAAACACUCAAAGGCAGCAUCCGCACAGCUUUAAGUCAUAUGAAGUAAGAAUGAACUUAUGUGUGGGAUGGAUCUUGAGGGAAUUUCUGAUGAACUCUGAUAAAGUUCUCGUCCCUGAAGCCGCCGUGUCACAGCGCAGGUCUGACUCCCAGCUCCGUUACACAUCCGAUGGCCAUCAGGGAGGAGCGCGUAGAGUACAAAGCAUCAUUAAUGUGAAAAUCAUUAAUAAGGGUCUGAGAGCAGAGAGAGCGCUUCCUGAAAUAAUGGGAAAUCCAUGAUUUAGUAAUGCUGUAUCUACACAUGUAUUAUUAAUCAUUUAAAAAUAAGUGUGGCAAACGUUGGGAGUAUGUAAACCAAAUUCACUUGUAACUAAUGAAUCCAUUUGAGCUUUCUCUGGA